AGCUCUCAAGGUGUAUAUCGUCAUUGCUGCGGUUAAAAAGCUCGUAGUUGGAUCUGCGCCGUUGGACCCGGUCCAUCCAAGUGGUGAGAACUGGGCUCCACGGCUUUUCUGUCGGUUUUCGUACAAUGCUCUUCACUGGGUGUUGUGCGUGGCUGGCGAGUUUACUUUGAAGAAAUUAGAGUGCUCAAAACAGGCGUUUUGCCUGAAUAGUUGUGCAUGGAAUAAUGGAACAGGACCUCGGUCCGUUUUGUUGGUUUCGGAACUGAGAUAAUGGUUAAGAGGGACUGACGGGGGCAUUCGUAUCGCUGCGUGAGAGGUGAAAUUCUUGGACCGUAGCGAGACGCCCUACUGCGAAAGCAUUUGCCAAGAAUGUCUUCAUUAAUCAAGAACGAAAGUACGC
RNAcentral lists this ribosomal RNA (400 nucleotides) under phytoplankton environmental sample. Its description in RNAcentral is "partial small subunit ribosomal RNA". It matches the Rfam family "Eukaryotic small subunit ribosomal RNA", at positions 587 to 994 of the family's 1831-position model. The record is from RNAcentral.